Molecule: small RNA, 30 nt
Filed under: Bombyx mori (domestic silkworm)
Lineage: Eukaryota; Metazoa; Arthropoda; Insecta; Lepidoptera; Bombycidae
Description: ovarian small RNA-35960
Source: RNAcentral
UGUGUGUUCUCAAGGGGCUACAUUGCCCUC